Phasianus colchicus (ring-necked pheasant) is the source of this 530-nucleotide non-coding RNA. The record is from RefSeq and is a predicted model, not a curated record. NCBI's taxonomy places the organism in Eukaryota, Metazoa, Chordata, Aves, Galliformes, Phasianidae.
GCUUGCUCUGCAGAUGUGCUCCUCACCUUGAAAUCCUCCUUGUUGGUUCCCAGCUCCUCACCGUGGCCUGUGCUCUCUGUUUCAGGCUGAGAACAAGGGGAAGCCCCUGCUAGACCAUGAGGUGGCACCUGUGAAUGUUCCAGCUAUUGCUGCUGCCCAUGCUAUUAAGAGAUACGUUGCCCAGGCAGCGGAUGAACUCUCCUUUGAGGUGGGAGACAUCAUCUGUGUCAUUGACAUGCCACCAAAGGAGCUGACCCCCUGGUGGAGAGGCAAGCUCGGCUUCCAGGUUGGAUUUUUCCCAGGGGAGUGUGUGGAACUCAUUAAUAAGAACAUUCCUGAGGCACUCGUCAAUUCUGUGCCAAAGCCAGGUAGGGAUGUUACAUUUGAUGGUGUGGGGAAGCAAAAUGAAGUCUUUUUUGGGGUGUGUUCCAUGUUUAGUACCUCCUUUAUCCAUGCCACAUUGUCCUCUGGGUUGAUGAUUCUUCAUGCACACCAUGGGGCAGAGAUUUGGCCCAGUCCUCCUGUGUUUA